AUUGAACGCUGGCGGCAUGCCUUACACAUGCAAGUCGAACGGCAGCACGGGACUUCCGGUCUGGUGGCGAGUGGCGAACGGGUGAGUAAUGCAGUCGGAACGUGCCAUUGAGUGGGGGGAUAACGUAGCGAAAGUUGCGCUAAUACCGCAUAUUCUGUGAGCAGGAAAGCAGGGGACCGCAAGGCCUUGCGCUCUUUGAGCGGCCGAUGUCAGAUUAGCUAGUUGGUGAGGUAAAGGCUUACCAAGGCGACGAUCUGUAGCGGGUCUGAGAGGAUGAUCCGCCACACUGGAACUGAGACACGGUCCAGACUCCUACGGGAGGCAGCAGUGGGGAAUUUUGGACAAUGGGGGCAACCCUGAUCCAGCCAUGCCGCGUGAGUGAAGAAGGCC
This 390-nucleotide ribosomal RNA is filed under the name uncultured bacterium. Its description in RNAcentral is "bacterial SSU rRNA". It matches the Rfam family "Bacterial small subunit ribosomal RNA", at positions 30 to 416 of the family's 1533-position model. The record is from RNAcentral.